Molecule: long non-coding RNA, 6436 nt
Filed under: Salvia miltiorrhiza (redroot sage)
Lineage: Eukaryota; Viridiplantae; Streptophyta; Magnoliopsida; Lamiales; Lamiaceae
Description: long non-coding RNA (SMIL_LNC005745)
Source: RNAcentral
UUUAAUUUUAUUAAGUGGGCUGCAUUUUUUAUAACUUGGGCUUCAUGCAUAUAUUUCUAUUGGGCUGCAUGUUUAUUUGUUUGGUUAUAUGUUUUAAUUAUAAGUUAAAGUCUUACAAAUAUUUGUAAGCAAAAUAUUUUUAAGUUGAUUUUAUGCUCAAGAUGAGUUUUUAAGUAAAAGCCGAGCAAGGAUAUUAUUGAAAUCCUUAGCCAAGAAAAAUGAUUUUCAAGUUUUAUGUUGAAUUUUUGAAAAUCCGGGUGUUGCGAAUCUAGUUAGAAAUGAUGACAAGUCAUGAAGGUUAAGCUUGAUUUUAGGACUAUGAGUUUAAGUUGAGAACUUAUCUUGUAGGUCCUACAGAAGAGGAUAUUUAGGCUCUUGUUCAGCUGAGUUAUUUGUUUGGAUUUUCUCCAAAUCAGGUGAGGCUUUAUUUACGAAAUGUAUGUUUGAGCUAAUAAGCUCGGUUUUAUGUAAAGUUAAAGAUGAUGGUUCAUGCUUAAAAUGUUUUUGCUCUCUAUUGGUUACUGCUUCUACCAGAACAUUGUUGGCUCCGCCAACCAGAACAUUGUUAGCUCUGCUAACCAGAAUUGUGUACGUACACCAGAACCUGUUGUCUCGAGAGAUCGGUGACAACCAGUUGUAGAUAGCAUGCCCAAUAGAUGGCCAGGAAAAUAUGAGCUCAGAUUAUUUUAGUAUGCAUGGAAUGACUCGUCUUUAAAAACAUUCUGUGUUAUACUGUUUAAAGGCAUGAAUUAUCUUUUUCAGUAAAUGAUUUUUAAAAUGUUUUUAAAUGGCUCAACCCACUGAGUACACUAGUACUCAGCCCUGCAAUUGUUUUCAAAACCUUUUGCAGAUUGAGCAGCUAGUGGUGACGUGCGAGGCUGAGGAAGGGUUGUUGCUGUGGAUUCUGAAGAAAUACUGCGUUUACUUCUCCUAAAAUAAAUUCACUUAGUGAAUAUUAUCUGAUGCCUAAUUAUAUUAAUACUUUUAUUCAUAUUUCUAAUAUGAAUUUCAUUCUCCAUCACUUUUCUAGCGAUUGUUUUUCGCAUCUAUUAUAUGCUUAGUAUGAGACGUUGUUUUGGUCUCAGACCUUCGAACUUCCGAUCCUGAUAGGGAGAAUAAUUAUGUUAUAAUGUCGUACUUGUUUUCAUUUAAAUACGGCAUAAUGUCCAACCCUCAGGGCACAUUACCUAUUUUAUUCAAGUAAAGCUUAGUAGUCCUGUCACAUAGCCCAUUUCUUAUUCUCCCGGGAAAUCAGGGCUGUCACAAAUGGUAUCAGAGCAAAGGUUCUUGGCUCUGAGACCGCUAUUUCAUUGAUGUUGAGUCUAGAAUAACAUCUCUAGACUUCUAAGCUACACAACAACCCUCAGCUCGCCUUCACACCGCCCUCAAGAAAGAAAGGUACGCGAUUUUAACAAAUUUUACUUAAAGUGCGUACAAGUAUUUAAAGUGGUUUUAAAAGCAAUAGUUCUUGUUAAAAGAAAAUAUUUCAGUUUGUUGUAUUAUUUUACAACCAGAUUCCCAGAAAGAUGUUAUUUUGAGCUUUAGCUUGAAUAACCAGAAAGUUUGUCAUGUUUGUAUGACCAGAAAGAUUUGUCAUAUUCAUUUAUAUGACCAGAAAGUUGUCAUAUCUUUAUGACCAGUAUUUGAGCUUUGACUCGCCUCAGUUAUCAGUUCAUGCAUGUGUAAUUUUCUCGUAGUUAGAGAAAUACACUAGAUAAUAGCAUGAUAAUCUUAUGAGAUAGACUCCUAGCAUGAAGCGCUAGAAGAAUCAAGAAAAAGUUAGAGUGCUCUACAGAAAUACGUAUAACUUAGAAAGCUCGAAUAGAAAGAUAGAACGAAGCAAGAUAGAACAUAGAAAGACAUCAUACAAAGAGAUAGAACAUAGAAAGACAUCAUACAAAGAGAUAGAACAUAGAAGUUCAGAAUUUAGAAAGAUAGAUCGCAAAAGACAAAGAGAAUAGAAGAAGAAGACAUAGAAGGAUGAGCUGAAGACAAACAAAACGACGAGUGAAUUGUUCCACGCAAUCUACAAGUAUGAAAGACUCAAGACUUCACAGUAACGUGUACCAAUCACUAAAGAAAUGUGGAAGAGAACUACUGCAACUUCACCACAAGCUGACAAGAAUUUGAAGCUACGAGAAGCAGGAAUGCCCCACAAUAUAGUAGGGUUACCUGUUAUAUAUAUUCUAAACGUAAACCUUUAUUUCAUUUCGAGCCCGACGCUUUUGGAAUAUAUAUAUAUAAGUAAAUUCUUUGAAGAGCAUUAUUUUUCAUGUUCAAAAGCCCUAAUACUUUUUGGAAUAUAUAAUCCUUGGAAAGACCUUAUUUUGCUCCUUGAAGCCUUUUUUUGGAAGCAUAUGAUACAUAGGUUUCAUACCUUGAUAUGCCAAUCUUCAUUCAUAUUUUAAUAUGUGUUGUUAUUUUUUUUAGCGCAACACACCUAGUUAUUUUUGCUCAUAUACUUAUGAUAUCAAUAAGCUUUCACUAACCAAGUUGUUUCUACAGAAUGGCUGGAGAAGAAGAAAGGGUACCUAACGCUGAAGAACCUGUGCUACAAGCCGCACAACGCAGAGCGAGUGAAAGGUUCCGCAAGCACAAUCCACCCACCUUCAAUGGAAUGGGAGAUCCAAUGGAUGCAGAAAAAUGGAUACGAUCCUUAGAGCGAAUCUUCGACUUCAUGGGUCUUACUGACAAAGAGCGUUUGACAUGUGCUAUCUUUCAACUAACAGACGAGGCUGACUAUUGGUGGGAGUCGGUGCAGAGGACGUUANNNNNNNNNNNNNNNNNNNNNNNNNNNNNUUAUUAUUAUUAUUAUUAUUAUUAUUAUUAUUAUUAUUAUUAUUAUUAUUAUUAUUAUUAUUAUUAUUAUUAUUAUUAUUAUUAUUAUUAUUAUUAUUAUUAUUAUUAUUAUUAUUAUUUUAUUUUUUCAAUGUCAAAAUAGAAGACACAUUGUCCUACUGUUAUUAAAUAUUGUGUUGAAGAUUGUUGGGUCCCGGAGGGCAAUUGAACUGGCGUAUGGGGGGGGAAUAUACCAGUAGACUAUUUUUUAGAAAAUCUUCUUUAGAACUGAAAGAGUAUCAACUGAUACCGAAAUGUUUGGAUUGAAAGACAACAGUCAAGGACUGUUUCAUUUAAAAUAGGGGUGUAGACUGAUACUGGAAUGACUUCAGUAUUUUGAUUUCAGUCAAGCACAAAGCUUUGACUGAUAAUCCACGUAAGGUUUCAAUCUAUAAUUUGAAAUCAGAUAAGUGUUAUGAAUCUUACUGAUUAUCCAAGGAUUUGUCAGUUAGACUAAUAACACUAGCAGCAGAAAUUAAACUUAAGAAAUAACCUUUGUGAUUAACACUUUGUCAGAUCAAUUUCAGUUAAGUAAAGAGUUUGUGCACAACAAUGAAAGUAAAUACUGAAAGCGAUAAGCAACACGAGAUUUUUAAAACCUUAAAUUGAAACAAGGUUUCAGUACCAAUUCUCGGAUUGGACUUCUCAUCUUCUUCUCAGGUCAUAGUUGCAAUGACUACACUCGCCUUGCUUGCGGGGGCUAAGAUCUCUUGAGUUCAGACAACAGUCUAGAACUCUCUCUCUCAAACUCUAUUUUUCCUCUUUUGAAAAGGGGUUCGAAAUACCAACAGGAUUACAGAGAAUAUGCUCUCUGUAAUCAAAGACUUAGGCUAGGGAUUUUAUAAUGUAAUUGCCUAAGGAUGUAAGAGAAUUUUGGUAAUCAGUAAACUGAUUUGAACAUGGAAUAUUAUCUUCUUCAAUUCAAACUUUGGAUAGCAAUAAAAUGGCUGAGUCGCAAAUUUGACAGAGGUUCAGNNNNNNNNNNCUCGAGCUCUAUAUUGUAAUACCCCAAGUUUUCCUCAAUAUGAUUUUAGAAGAAUGAUUGGGUUUAGAAUUAAGUCGAUUCGCACCCCGGAGAAAAUUUGUUUUAAUUCAGAUAAAUGGUUUGUUAAAAUUUUAAGGCAAAUUUGUCAAUGGGCCUUAUUUGAUUAUGAUGUGGGAUCAUUNUUUUUUUAGUGGGCCGAGUUGUUAUUUGGAGGCCCAAACCCAUUGCUAUUAUAGAUAUUUUCAUUAAGGAUUUAUGGAAGGGGGUUAAUCCACGUUGCCAAUUUCCUUCUACAAACUCACUCGAGCUCUGCACCGAGGAUCAGCAGUAGAGCUCUUCUCUUCCUCAAUCAUCCAUCAUAUUCUUAUCUAAUCAUCCACAUACAACAACCCACAAAAAUCAACCAUCAUCAAGAAAUCGAAAGUCUAUUCCCAACCACAGUUCAUUAUAUUCUUUUUGCCACUCAAUCACAUCUCUUUGAUGAAGAACUCUAUUCUAUAGCAAAAUCCUUGAGAAAAGGUUUGAUCUUACACCAUCUAUUCAUGACUUAUAUACUGUUUUCACUACUUCACAAAGAAGCUAUCUUUUUCAUGCUUUUGUUGGCGUGUGUGUGUAUGUGUGCUGCUGUGUGCGUGAGUUCUUAGAGCUGUCGUCGUCGUUGUGGCGAGACGGGCAGGUCGGGAUCGAGAGAGAACAGGGGAGGAUCGGCGGCGGCAGCGGCCUGAUGCUUCUGCUUGCGACUGCCGUAAAUGGAGAGAGAGAAAGGGGAGACGGCUGGACGGUGGGGCUGUUCAGCGGUGGGACCGGCGGCGGCGGUGGAGGCGGCUUGUGACUCCUACUGUCCGUCGGUCAAGAGAGAAAGAGAUGGGUGGUGCUGCUAUCGUUCGGAGAGGAGUCAGCAGAGCUGCUGCUGCUGUUGACGGCGGUGGUCCGGUUGGCUGUGGCUGCCGUUCGAAGAAUCAGAGGAGGAGAGAGGCGGCGAUGGCGGCGGUCCGGCUGACUGCUGCUGUCGGUUGGAGUAGAGGGGUCAAGUCCGGCGGUAACCUCGCCGGAAAUCGAAGAGGAGAGAGAAGCUAGGGAUUUUUGGGGGUUCGGUGAAUUGAGGGAGGAGGGAGAAAGACAGAGAAAGAUGAGGGCGGCGGUGGUACGCCGGCGUCGCGCCGGCGAAUUUGUAGGCGGCGGCGGCGACGUGAGAUGAGAGGAAGGGAGAGAGAAAGUGGCGAGAAGGAGAGAGAGACCGAAUGGGAGAGUGAGAGUGAGGUCUUGUGUCUGUGUGUGUGCGUGAGAAAAAGGAGAAGAAAGGAGAGGUUGAUGAGUUGAGUUGGGCUGGGUAUUUUUUUUUAGUUGGGCUUAUAGUUGGGCCGUUUUUUUUUUAUUAAGUGAGCUGCAUUGUUUUUAAUUUGGGCCUUUAAUUAUUUUGGGCUGCAUGUUUAUUUGUUUGGUUACAUGUUUUUAUUAAAAAGUUAAAGUCUUACAAAUGUUUGUAAGCAAAAUAUUUUUAAUUUGAUUUUAUGCUCAAGAUGAGUUUUUAAGAAAAGUCGAGCAAGGGUAUUAUUGAAACUCUUAGCCAAGAAAAAUGAUUUUUAAGUUUUAUGUUGAAUUUUUGGAAACCCGGGUGUUGCGAAUCUAGUUAGAAAAUGAUGACAAGUCAUGAAGGUUAAGCUUGAUUUUAGGACUAUGAGUUUAAGUUGAGGACUUAUUUUGUAGGUCCUACAGAAGAGGAUAUUUAAGCUCUUGUUCAGCUGAGUAAUUUGUUUGGAUUUCUCCAAAUCAGGUGAGGCUUUAUUUACGAAAUGUAUGUUUGAGCUAAUAAGCUCGGUUUUAUGAAAUGUUAAAGUUGAUGGUUCAUGCUUAAAAUGUUUUUGCUCUCUAUUGGUUAUUGCUUCUACCAGAAUAUUGUUGGCUCUGCCAACCAGAACAUUGUUAGCUCUGCUAACCAGAAUUGUGUACGUACACCAGAACCUGUUGUUUCGAGAGAUCGAUGACAACCAGUUGUAGAUAGCAUGCCCAAUAGAUGACCAGGAAAAUAUGAGCUCAGAUUAUUUUAGUAUGCAUGGAAUGACUCACUUUAAAAACAUUCUGUGUUAUACUGUUUAAGGCAUGAAUUAUCUUUUUCAGUAAAUGAUAUUUAAAAUGUUUUUAAAUGGCUCAACCCACUGAGUACACUAGUACUCAGCCCUGCAAUUGUUUUCAAAACCUUUUGCAGAUUGAGCAGCUGGUGGUGACGUGCGAAGCUGAGGAAAGGUUGUUGCUGUAAUAUUGAAGAACACUCUGUUUUACUUCCGCUGAAAUAAAUUCACUUAGUGAAUAUUAUCUGAUGCCUAACUAUAUUAAUACUUUUAUUCAUAUUUAUAAUAUGAAUUUCAUUCUCCAUCACUUUUCUAGCGAUUGUUUUCCCGCAUCUAUUAUAUGCUUUGUAUGAGACGUUGUCUUGGUCUCAGACCUUCGAACUUCCGAUCCUGAUAGGGAGAAUAAUUAUGUUAUAAUGUCGUACUUGCUCUCAUUUAAAUACGGCAUAAUGCCAACCCUCAGGGCGCAUUACAUAUUUUAUUCAAGUAAAGCUUAGUAAUCCUGUCACAUAGCCCAUUUCUUUUUCUCCCGGGAAAUCGGGGC